UUGCCUAACAGUCCCUUGGCUGGAGAGAGUCAGCAGUGAACAUGCUGUGCUGCUGUCCCAGGGCUCCAGGCUGCAGCCUCAGGACCCCACAGAGGGAAAGCACUUGGGAACAAGUGAGAGGUUGGCUAAGUCUAGAUGCUACAGGCCACGCACCAGGAACCACCCAGUGCUCAUGGGCAGCAUAGGGCAGGUCUCACCACAUCCAGAGACCUCGGGGCCUGAGAUGAGAGGGAGCCCAGGGCAGGUCUCCCUGGGCCUGGCCACCAGGCACUCUGAGCAACCGAGUCCAGGGCAAGAACAUUUAGGCCUGCCCACCACUCCUCCACCUUGGCCAGGGGCAAGGUCACCACCCACAGGCUGGACACCCAAGAACGGGACUUGGACAAGGUGUCACUUCAAUCCUGCCAUGAAUUCAUUCGGCCAUUUCACCUCACUGUAACUCCUGGCCCAGGCAUCCAUCCUCAUCUCUACCUGGGAGGGGCCUCAGGACCCAUGGGAUGUUGCUCUUAAUACACAGAGUGUUCCCAGAGCAGGAAACCUUGGGGUGUGCAAAGGCCCCAGGCCACGCAGACAUCAUAGAAGAGCAGGUGCCUCAUCACUUUACCAACAUACAUGAAGACAAACUCUGUGCAGACACUUUUCCAGGUAUAGAUCAUGAACCAAUAACCACAGCAAAUACAAUCACUGCACUCUCGAGUUUCGGUGAUAUUUGGUGUCUACACAGUGACAAUCAGAGCAGGUAUUACUCAAAUUACAGUAGAUGAAGCCCCUCCUUUCCUCCCUUGAUGUGGAUUCACAGCAGUGCAAAGAAGUCCAGAGGCGGCACAGACACCAGGCAACAUAGCACUACAUACCAUAAAGCCUCAGGAGAGGCAGGGCAGCACAGACGCCUACUGUCCCUCACUUCUCAGAUAGUUAUGGAGCAGCAGCCCUGUGCCCUUGAGUACAAUCACACACCAGAAACCAGACUCUGUCCUCAUGGAGCUGACAGUGGGGACAGGCAGGGAGACACUGUAUCCAGCUGCCCUGAAGAAGA
Molecule: non-coding RNA, 1036 nt
Organism: Heterocephalus glaber (naked mole-rat)
Lineage: Eukaryota; Metazoa; Chordata; Mammalia; Rodentia; Bathyergidae
Source: RefSeq, a predicted model, not a curated record